AUUGAACGCUGGCGGCAGGCCUAGCACAUGCAAGUCGAGCGAACCUAGCUUGCUAGGUGAGCGGCGAACGGGUGAGUAACACGUAGGAAUCUGCCCGAUAGUGGGGGACAACGUCUCGAAAGGGACGCUAAUACCGCAUACGCCCUAAGGGGGAAAGCAGGGGAUCUUCGGACCUUGCGCUAUCGGAUGAGCCUGCGUCGGAUUAGCUAGUUGGCGGGGUAAAGGCCCACCAAGGCGACGAUCCGUAGCUGGUCUGAGAGGAUGAUCAGCCACACCGGAACUGAGACACGGUCCGGACUCCUACGGGAGGCAGCAGUGGGGAAUAUUGGACAAUGGGGGCAACCCUGAUCCAGCCAGGCCGCGUGUGUGAAGAAGGCCUUCGGGUUGUAAAGCACUUUAAGCGGGGAGGAAAGUUUGCUGGCUAAUAUCCAGCGGAAUUGACGUUACCCGCAGAAUAAGCACCGGCUAACUCCGUGCCAGCCGCCGCCGUAA
RNAcentral lists this ribosomal RNA (492 nucleotides) under uncultured bacterium. Its description in RNAcentral is "partial 16S ribosomal RNA". It matches the Rfam family "Bacterial small subunit ribosomal RNA", at positions 29 to 523 of the family's 1533-position model. The record is from RNAcentral.